AGCAGGGCAGGAGAGGCGCAGGGAGGAGCUGCAGAAAAUCACUGAAUUCUGCACAUUUCUGAGAUUUGAGAAUUUUGGGAGAGGUGCAGCGAGCGCUAGGCGCCUUCCUUCAGCCCCGAUUAGCUCUGCGGGCUGUUUUCUUAUAGCUCUGCUUUCCCCUUUGCUCGAGGUAGGGCUUUCAGAGGAGGAAAAUGAGAGAAGUGUGGAAAAACGUGAGCGUGGAGGAGCUGCAGGGAGGGUGAGCGAGAUGUGGGGCGAAAGCGGGGCUUUUCGCCAGCCGAAGAGAAGUGCAGGGGGAGAAAAGCGAACGCUGAGCUAAAAUGUGAAGUUCUGGAGUGAAAGAUGGCUCUGAGAGAAGAUGGAUGGAAGGAGGAGAAAUGGAGAGCGAAGAGGACAGGGAGAAAUGAGCAAGAUGGAAAAAAUGGGUGGCGGUGCGGAGUUGGAAGGAGUUUCAGAGCGAGGUGAGCAGCGGCUUCACGCCGACGUGGCCCCACGCCCACCCCAUGGCAACAGCCAAAAAGCUGCGUUCUUAACCCAAAACGUGGCAGCAGGAGGAGAGGCGUUUUGGUCCCCAGCGGCGCUGUUUUGAGGGCGUUGUAGGAAGAUUUGGGAUUUCGGAGCCGGGAGUGGAAGAGCGGAGGCGGCGACGAGGCAGGGAGGAGAAAUUUAGAGGAGAAAAAAGGACUUUUUGGUUCAAACUGCACAUGGGGCCCUGGGACAGAACGCGGAAGUCAGGAGAAAAUGGAAACAGGAGACAAAGAGGCAAUGAUGGCAAAAAUGGAGGAGAGG
Molecule: unclassified non-coding RNA, 789 nt
Filed under: Hevea brasiliensis (rubber tree)
Lineage: Eukaryota; Viridiplantae; Streptophyta; Magnoliopsida; Malpighiales; Euphorbiaceae
Source: RNAcentral